RNAcentral lists this ribosomal RNA (209 nucleotides) under uncultured delta proteobacterium. Its description in RNAcentral is "partial 16S ribosomal RNA". It matches the Rfam family "Bacterial small subunit ribosomal RNA", at positions 568 to 774 of the family's 1533-position model. Lineage: Bacteria; Deltaproteobacteria. The record is from RNAcentral.
CGUGCAGGCGGCUCGCUAAGUCUGAUGUGAAAGCCCCGGGCUCAACCCGGGAAGUGCAUUGGAAACUGGCGAACUUGAGUACGGGAGAGGGAAGUGGAAUUCCGAGUGUAGGGGUGAAAUCCGUAGAUAUUCGGAGGAACACCAGUGGCGAAGGCGGCUUCCCUGGACCGAUACUGACGCUGAGACGGCGAAAGCGUGGGGAGCAAACA